UAACUUACUCCAAUAUUUUUAUGAAUUGUUUGUUGAACCAGCUGAUGCAUCUCUUGAUUUUGAUAUAUAUAAUUGAAGAGCUCCUUGAGUCGUGUAAAGAAAAUAACGGGAUGGUAGUAUAUGAUGAAGCAAAAUUAGGAUACCUCCGAGCCAUUUGAGAGAAUAUGUCUAUUUUGUGAUUUCAUUGUAGUGAAGAAAUGGGAAGUUACUCCAAAACCAGAUCCCC
This 226-nucleotide long non-coding RNA is filed under the name Linum usitatissimum (flax). RNAcentral's name for it is "long non-coding RNA (LUSI_LNC000294)". The record is from RNAcentral. Lineage: Eukaryota; Viridiplantae; Streptophyta; Magnoliopsida; Malpighiales; Linaceae.